CACUCACCCGGCCCCUCUCUUGCAGAACACACUGCUCUGCUUCGCCGUCCACGGUAUCUUCAAGGAGGUGGACGGCAAAUCCCGGGACUCGGUGCGCGCCUUCACCCGCAUGUUCAUCGCCGUCCCGGCCGGCAACACCGGGCUCUGCAUCGUUAACGACGAGCUCUUCGUUAGGAACGCCACCACCGAGGAGAUCCGCAAGGCCUUCCUCAUGCCGGCCCCCACCCCCUCCUCCAGCCCCGUCCCCACCCUCUCGGCCGAGCAGCAGGAGAUGUUGGCCGCUUUCUCCAUGCAGUCGGGCAUGAACCUCGAGUGGUCCCA
Calidris pugnax (ruff) is the source of this 321-nucleotide long non-coding RNA. RefSeq lists it as uncharacterized. The record is from RefSeq and is a predicted model, not a curated record. Lineage: Eukaryota; Metazoa; Chordata; Aves; Charadriiformes; Scolopacidae. The transcript is spliced from 3 exons.